GCAGAUAAUCUGUGGCUGAUAAUGUUGGAAGGCUACUGCACACUUUUAAUGCUAGAAAUACAUAGGAAGGGGGUGUGGAGGAGACUUGAAAGUGCAUGGUUUAGGUCUUCCUUUAUUACAUUCUGUUUUUCUCUUGCCUGGUUUUUGGUUCAAAUUUUCAUAUUUACAACUUCAACCUUAAAUGGGUUCAGCAAUUUCAUAUGGUAGGUAUUAAAUAGUGACUGAUGAAUUCAAAA
This 236-nucleotide unclassified non-coding RNA is filed under the name Hevea brasiliensis (rubber tree). Lineage: Eukaryota; Viridiplantae; Streptophyta; Magnoliopsida; Malpighiales; Euphorbiaceae. The record is from RNAcentral.